UGACGCCUAGAGAGAGGGAGAACCCAAAGCGGCUGCUGCCUCAGGAGGCCGUAGUUCUGGGCGCCGUCGACCUUCCCUGAGGGCUUCGAUUGGUCCCCUCAGGGCUGAGCACCGGCCUCGUGCCACUCGCCUUACAGACCCCGUCUGGCCGCGCGUCGCAGACCCAGUUGCCUUGCUGCCAGAAUGAGCUGAGGUCUGAAAAUUGCUCAGCAGGAUCAGGCAUAGCAGGGGCCUCUCCUCUCGUGGUUUCGCUUGCCAAUGACUGCUGUCUUGAUAACUGAUGUUUUCAUUGUUAGUUCAAAUGCCAGCUUUCCUGCGCAGUCAAGGUAGAUGUCAAGUACAGGAGGGAGGCCAGGCCUUCGGCAUAUCAAGACUUCUUUGCCCUGGGCUCAUUUAACCCACUAUUGUGCACCUGGCCAACGAUUAGCAUUUAAUGGCAACAGUGAAGCCUAUAGUCUCGGAGAGGUGCCGGUAUCUGAGGCUGCUGCUGAAGGAAGAAGCAAACACAGCAAAAUAGAUAUAUCUGCCUUGGUUCAUAAGGAUCACAGACGGAAAUACUUUUUACCCCCUGUGGACAUGCUGGGAUUUUAGAGCUGAUGCUAUUAAUCAAUCUGUCCUAAAACAGAAAUAGUUGCAAAUAUGUAAUAUACAGUAUCUGUGGCAUAGAAAACAAACCUUUAACAAGCCUGUUUGUUUUUUUUUAAAGUUGGAAAAUGUUGCCAGCCUGUUUUUGAUGUAAUUGAAAAUGUUUAGAAGCUUUCCUAAAGAGUUGAUUAAUAUAUCAAAAUCAAAAAAGGCAA
Long non-coding RNA from Bubalus bubalis (water buffalo), 800 nucleotides. RefSeq lists it as uncharacterized. The transcript has 3 exons. NCBI's taxonomy places the organism in Eukaryota, Metazoa, Chordata, Mammalia, Artiodactyla, Bovidae. The record is from RefSeq and is a predicted model, not a curated record.